This 415-nucleotide ribosomal RNA is filed under the name uncultured crenarchaeote. RNAcentral's name for it is "partial 16S ribosomal RNA". It matches the Rfam family "Archaeal small subunit ribosomal RNA", at positions 330 to 747 of the family's 1478-position model. Lineage: Archaea; Thermoproteati; Thermoproteota. The record is from RNAcentral.
GCGCACCAGUCGCGAAACCUCCGCAAUACGCGAAAGCGUGACGGGGUCAUCCCGAGUGCCGUCCGCUGAGGAUGGCUUUUCCCCAGUGUAGACAGCUGGGGGAAUAAGGAGAGGGCAAGUCGGGUGUCAGCCGCCGCGGUAAUACCCGCUCUCUGAGUGGUGGGGACGCUUAUUGGGCCUAAAGCAUCCGUAGCUGGCUGGGCAAGUCCCCUGUUAAAUCCAGCGAUUCAAUCGUUGGACUGCGGGGGAUACUGUCCGGCUAGGGGGCGGGAGAGGCCGACGGUAUUUCCGGGGUAGGGGUGAAAUCCUAUAAUCCCGGGAGGACCUGCAGUGGCGAAGGCGGGUAGCCAGAACGCGCUCGACGGUGAGGGGCGAAAGCUGGGGGAGCGAACCGGAUUAGAUACCCGGGUAGUCC